This is a small nucleolar RNA of Archocentrus centrarchus (flier cichlid), 98 nucleotides long. RefSeq annotates it as small nucleolar RNA U13. The record is from RefSeq and is a predicted model, not a curated record. The transcript has a single exon. NCBI's taxonomy places the organism in Eukaryota, Metazoa, Chordata, Actinopteri, Cichliformes, Cichlidae.
AUCCUUCUUGUUCAAGAAGUGUGAUGAUUGGUGCGUUCACGGACUCUCCGUGAAAGGUGCGGCCUCAUUGUUACGCAAGCGCCUCAGCCCGUCUGACC